This 256-nucleotide ribosomal RNA is filed under the name uncultured bacterium. Its description in RNAcentral is "partial 16S ribosomal RNA". It matches the Rfam family "Bacterial small subunit ribosomal RNA", at positions 524 to 776 of the family's 1533-position model. The record is from RNAcentral.
UACGUAGGCAGCAAGCGUUGUUCGGAAUUACUGGGCGUAAAGAGUGUGUAGGCGGUGCUCUAAGUUCGGUGUGAAAUCUCCCGGCUCAACUGGGAGGGUGCGCCGAAAAACUGGAGUGCUGGAGCGCGGGAGAGGAAAGCGGAAGUUCCUGGUGUAGCGGUGAAAUGCGUAGAUAUCAGGAGGAACACCGGCGGUGUAGACGGCUUUCUGGGACCGUAGCUGACGCUGAGACACGAAAGCGUGGGUAGCAAACAGG